GUAUAUCCGGUCGUCCCCUGCUGGCUUCUUUUUGCCUGUCCCAUUGUGUUCAAGUUGUAGCUCCAGUCAGUAACGGAUGUCCUAUCCCCUCUCUUUUCCACCAGCAAGUAGACAGCUGGUCACAACAUCUGUCCAAAUGUGUCCUUGAUGAAGAGCCAGUACUCUUCCUAAAUGACAGUGCCACACCCCUGGGGGCUGUGAGAACUGGGCUGUGGCAGGACCCCUUUGGGAUGUCUGUUAGGGAUGGUGCAAGUUGUAAACAGUUAGUGACUUCUCUCCUCCCAGCUCUGUCCUGAGAUGAGCCUCAGACCUGGACUCCCCAGGUGGGGGAUUCUGAGGAGUGUCCCAAGAGAGCUCUAAUAAUGGACAUAAUAAAAGAAGACAAAUAUGCUGUGUGUGGCUUAUUUAAACUACACAUAGUAUAAUUUUCAUGGCAUUGUGAACAACUCAGUUUAAACUAAUAAAUGCCCCCUUUUUUCCCCCCAGAAAUUGUAGCUUUGCUUUUGGUACCAAGUAUGAGCCGGCUCUGCUGUCUAAGAGGAACACACGGCCCACAGAGGUUAAGACGGAAGAUGCCAGCCCCCAAGUUCUGGAGGCCAGAAAUCUGACAUCAGGGUGUUGGCAAGACCGAACUCCCUUCAGGUCUCUAGGUGAGAAUCCUUCCUUGCCUCUUCCAUCUUCUGGUGUCUUUGGGUGUUCCUUGGGUUGUAGCUUUAUAAUUGCCAUCUCAGCCUCCGUCUUCACAUGGCCUUCUCGUCUGUUUCUCCCUGCCUAUCUUUUUUAAGAACAUCUGCCAUUGAAUUGAAGGCCCACCUGGAUGAUCCAGGAUGAUUUGUGUUGAGAUCUUUAAUUUACAUCUGCAAAGACCCUUUCCCAAAUAAGUUACAUUCAUAGGUUCUGGGAUUUAGGCAGAUAUUUUGAGCACUACCAUUCAACCCACUACAGCAAGUCCUUUCCAUACUAUGUUCAGAAACACAAAUGGUUAGAGAUGACCUCCUAGGUAAGCCUGGAUUUAAGGCUAUUAUUUACCUGUCCUGAUUUUCCCUUCUCAGCCUUCCUUAUCUCUGUGUUUCUAUGGAUAAUGUGGAUUACAACAAGAUGCCCUGGGAAGAUGCAUUUUUUCUGUCUGUGCUGGGGCCUGAUGGCUGAGAUAUGCUCAGUCUGACAAAACUCCUGAGGGUAGGGGGCUGCGCUUGGAGUCCAACUUCCAAGCCACAGUGUUUGCUUGGAUACUUAGCAGUAGAUAAAAAUAAGUCACUUAAAAAAGGUGACCCAAAGUGUCCUCAGUGAACAGCAUCUACAACUGUAAUUUCUAGAUCUGCUACAGUUAGUCCGGAUGGUCUCUGCGUAGCUUUUAUCAGGUGUUAGUUUCUUAAUGGUCUUACUUCCAGGCCAUAAGAGCAGCCUCGAUAGUUAAUAAUUAUUGUUGUCAGCAUUCUGGGCUAUAGAUGCAGUAGCGAAUGCCAUUUGCACCUGCAUCCUCCUGGGAAACACUGGUCUCCACUAUGGUGUUAAAGAUCUUGCUUUGUAGUAUUAGGCUGGGUCCUUUCAUGGUGGCCAAAACUGGAGUAAGAGUGUAAUGAGUCUUCAGCGGCUAUGAAACUGGGCUCAUGGCUGGAACCCAGCAAGCUCUUUCUCCUUUGGUGGGCAUUGUUUAGAGUAGUAAUGGCCGAAUAUGGUGGGAGAGUUGAGCAGAUCUGACAAGGCUUAGGGAAUACUGGAUGACUCUCUUCAGGGGAACUUCAACUAAGAAACGUGAACUCUGGUUCAGCUUCGUCCUGGAGAGAUGCUCAGAAUAUUUUACUAAAUGGGAAAACCAAAUAGAAGACUGAGGUUACAGAGUGAUGUGGUAUAAUGCAACAACAGGGCUGCAGUAGGAUGUUCUUCCUUCUCUGCUCUGUUGUUCUCCAUAGUAAUUAUUUACCCUCACCUAUGUUUUGCACUGAGGAAUCUUGUUGAUUUUCCCUGUUCCUCUGUAUUGUGAGUGUAAGCUCCAUGUCCCCAAAUACAGUAGGUGCUCUGUACACGUUGUUAGUUUGAUGAAAAAAUUAAACUAUGAUUUUCUGUCCUAACAACCUCAGUAUGCAUAAAUUGCACAAGAAGGAAAAGGGGUAAAUCUGGUUUCUACCCACAACUUUUGGCAGCUAAAAACCCUAUUCACCUCUAUCUGUUUAAGAACAAGGACCCCAGUGGUCUGGGGUGCAAUGUUGUAGGAGAGAUGUUGGGAGAAGGGUGGAUGUUUUGGUCCAGCUUCAGGACUUGCUGUUUGACUCUGUUUGGC
This is a long non-coding RNA of Mustela putorius furo (domestic ferret), 2281 nucleotides long. Lineage: Eukaryota; Metazoa; Chordata; Mammalia; Carnivora; Mustelidae. The record is from Ensembl.